Molecule: ribosomal RNA, 380 nt
Filed under: uncultured eukaryote
Lineage: Eukaryota
Description: partial 18S ribosomal RNA
Rfam family: Eukaryotic small subunit ribosomal RNA
Source: RNAcentral
CAAUAGCGUAUAUUAAAGUUGUUGCAGUUAAAAAGCUCGUAGUUGGAUUUGUGGUGUACUUCGGCGGCCUGUCACUAUGUGAUGGAGCUUGCUGAAGUCGCCAUCCUUGGGUGGAUCCUGUGUGGCAUUAAGUUGUCGUGCAGGGGAUGCCCAUCGUUUACUGUGAAAAAAUUAGAGUGUUCAAAGCAGGCUUAUGCCGUUGAAUAUAUUAGCAUGGAAUAAUAAGAUAGGACCUUGGUACUAUUUUGUUGGUUUGCGCACCAAGGUAAUGAUUAAUAGGGACAGUUGGGGGUAUUCGUAUUUCAUUGUCAGAGGUGAAAUUCUUGGAUUUUUGAAAGACGAACUACUGCGAAAGCAUUUACCAAGGAUGUUUNCAUUAA